This 497-nucleotide ribosomal RNA is filed under the name uncultured bacterium. Its description in RNAcentral is "partial 16S ribosomal RNA". It matches the Rfam family "Bacterial small subunit ribosomal RNA", at positions 28 to 507 of the family's 1533-position model. The record is from RNAcentral.
GAUGAACGCUGGCGGCGUGCCUAAUACAUGCAAGUCGAGCGAACAGACGAGGAGCUUGCUCCUCUGACGUUAGCGGCGGACGGGUGAGUAACACGUGGAUAACCUACCUAUACGACUGGGAUAACUUCGGGAAACCGGAGCUAAUACCGGAUAAUAUAUUGAACCGCAUGGUUCAAUAGUGAAAGACGGUUUUGCUGUCACUUAUAGAUGGAUCCGCGCCGCAUUAGCAAGUUGGUAAGGUAACGGCUUACUAAGGCAACGAUGCGUAGCCGACCUGAGAGGCUGAUCGGCCACAUUAGAGCUGAGACGCGGUCCAGACUCCUACGAGAGGCAGCAGUAGGGAAUCUUCCGCAAUGGGCGAAAGCUUGACGGAACAACGCGGCGUGAGAGAUGAAGGUCUUCGGAUCGUAAAACUCUGUUAUUAGGGAAAAACAAAUUUGUAAGUAACUAUGCACGUCUUGACGGUACCUAAUCAGAAAGCCACGGCUAACUACGUG